This 4186-nucleotide long non-coding RNA is filed under the name Equus caballus (horse). RNAcentral's name for it is "lncRNA (ENSECAG00000041380.2)". Lineage: Eukaryota; Metazoa; Chordata; Mammalia; Perissodactyla; Equidae. The record is from RNAcentral.
GCAUGAGCCUGGCCCAUGGUAGUGAGAGUGAGGAAUCUUAACCACUAGACCACCAGGGCUGGAAUUCCUUUAAUUAAGUCAUAAAGCAAAUAUUGGGUAGAGAACUGUGACAUUCUGCUAUUUUCUCCAUUUGAUUUCUCAUUUUGAUUUCUGUGUAGUAUAGUAACAGAUGCACAACAAGCAGUGAAUUUAGUUCUUAAUACCUGUUGUGUAGUUCAACCCCAGAUGAUAGGGGAGAAACUGACUAUAGCUUAGGAAACAGUAUUGUUGUUGGGGCUCUGUAGUGAUAUUAAUAAAUCAGUAGUCAGGAGGCUGACUCUUAUCUUACGGUAGGAGUCCGAAGUCCCUGAUCUACAGGCUUUGACUCUUUGCUUGGAAGAAGAUGAAACAAUAUCUCCUUUUACAGAAAGUCAGUAAUUAAUGAUAAAUUAUUUAAAUGACGGCAGAUUGCCUUUGGCAUUCACCUUGAGUGCAUGCACUACAAGCAGAUGAGUCGUUUAAAAGAAUAUCUAACCUUCUUUAUUGGGAGAAAGGAUGUAUUCGUUAAUUAUUCACUAAACACAGAUUGAGCACCUAGUAUGUGUUAGGCUCUGCACACGGUGCUGUAUUUCAGCGAGGAAUCAGACAUGGUCCCUACCUUUAAGACACUCACCAUCUAGUGGAAGGGAAAGAUAGAUCAACAGCUGAUGCUACAUGCAUCCCAAUAUCAUGUUCUUUGUAAUAGGUGUUAUAACCAGAAUAAAUAAUGUGGAAAACAUGGCGAUAUGCCCAAGAAGUCAGAUAAGGAGGGUUAUAGAAUAAAAAUCUAUUUAAUAAUAAUAAUACUUAGAAAGUACAGAAUUUAUAUAUGGGAUUUUUGGUGCAGAAGGAGCUGAAGCAAAGAGUUGGACAGAAGUUAGAGUUAUUGAGGCAGAAGGACCUAGCUAAUGGAUGCAGGGGCAGAGAGGAGCUAUCUAGGAGUCAGUCUAGAAGGGAACUUGCCUUCAGGGCUAUGCUAGACAAAGCAGGCUGCAGAUCCUGGAAGAAGCUGAUGACAAAGGAACACACAUUCUCCCAUCCAUAGGAACCUCCGGGAGAGCCAGCAGAAGCCUUAGUCUCUUCCCCAAGGAAUCAGAGGAGGAGUGGGCAGAUCUGGAUGGCUACCCUUUAUAGCCCUGCUUACGCAUCCUCAUGUCACCUUCAGAAGCCUUGAUCAGGCUUAUAUGGUGAGAUAUACAUGAUAUAAAUGCCACAAAAACAUGUGGAAUUUCUCUUGCAUUUGUCUUAAUCUUACAACAGCCUUAGCUAGGAGACAUGUCCAAUGGUGGAGGGAGAGGGAACCAAAACCCUAAGUUUAUAUUCUUAACUUUGAGCUUAAAAAUGUUGAUCUAAAUGAGAGAUACAAAGAUUUUGGAAUAAAAUAUUUGAUAAACUUUUUAUUUCCUCUUCUCACAAUGCUGCAAUGUUUUAGUUUGGGGCAAGGUGGUGUUCCUGAAUUUGGCUGAGGUUAAAUUUUAAAUGAUGGAGAAAUCACAGAGUUACUUGAGUAAUCCUAGAGAAACCUAGAGAAAUAGGUCUCAAGGUAGAAAUUAAGUCCAAUUUUAGGAAAACAGAGAAAGCAACAUUUUUGCACACUAGAAUUUGUGACUUGAGGAAGUCGCGUCAGCUAAACUUACUUUCAAAGGUCAGUCAGGUGGCCAUAUGUAAUUUCGUGGACAUUCAUAGCCCCAAAUUUUCCCCGUCUCUUUUCUGAUGCCCUCAACUUUUUUUAAAACUACAAAAUGUGUUUCAUUCUACAAUAGGGUCUUUGUUUCACUAGAUACCAAGAGUUUCCAUUAAAAUGCGAUUAAUUUGUCAGUCAAUUGGGAAGCACAACUAAUUGAUUAUCAAGGCCUCUCCUAUGUUAAUUUGUAAAAGGAGAUGAAGAUAUCAACACUUGAGGAUCUGGGGGUCAACAGCGAGGAAAGAGUCAGGGGAGGAAGAGGCAAAUGUAUCCUCCCAGAGGGAGGGGUCCCUGAGGUGUUCUUUUGGAGCAAGCAGUUCUCUCUUCCAUGAUGCAUGAAGAUGUUUCCUUCUAACAAACUAAUUUCUGGGGACUUGUGUGUGGGGAAAAUCACUUUAUCUGCAAAAUAGGUGCUGAAAAAUAUUAGGAACUCUGAAUGAUUUGGCUUAAAUUUUUCUUUUUGUAAGUUUUUAUUUGCUAAAGCUUUAAAGGCUCUCUCCAGGAGUAUUUUUAUUUGGCUUUAUAAUAAUUUGCAUCUGAAAUCCUGACUCCUUGCAAAUAAAAUGCUGUGAUUAUGGGAAUUGAUGGUAUGCAGAAUAAUGUGUCUAGCCCUGCCCAGCUAGGUGUAAAUAGGGUGUCCCACCCUGACAGUCACACUGGGUUCCCUCCAGGAGGCAGACAUGCCUGGAGAACUCUUGAGGAAGAUGGACCAACUGUCUGUUUACAUCAAGGAUUAUCUACAUCAGCGGCUCCUGAGAAAAAACUUACUCUAAAGGAAAAGAGUACAGAUUCACAAGGUUGCCCUCCAGACUCUUGUCUAGUCACAGGGGGAGGGACUGCAAUCAAGAGUGGAUGAAAUCUCAAAGAAUUGACUCACUAAAAUCUCUGUCAGACAUUGAGAGCUCAACGAAGCAAUGCUUUGUGGUCUCUGUAAUGACAGUUAGGUGAAAGGCACUUGCCCCGUUCCAAGGUGACUGUUGGAGCUCAGAGAAGUUGAGAAAUGGACAUGAUAGCCUGACAGCAAGCUUGGGAAGUCUGCCUCUGGAGAUGAGAUGCUAUACAAGGCGUCUUGUUUCAGCAGCUUCUCUUUGGUCAUGGAGUAAAAUGGCAGAAACAGUAGCUGUCACUCCUGGGAGCCUGGACCACAGGAGAGGAAAACAAACAAGAGGCCCAGUGUGGCAGCCAUGGUAGGUAAAUGGACUCAUUUCUGAGCUCAAGUGAGACAGCUCUUUGCUUCUCUGUUUCCUGUGAGAGGAAUGUGAAGAUAUGGAGGUGGGGACUGAGGAAGGACUGGCGUUCCUGCAGACUGAGUCAAGGACCUACUCUGGGGGUCCACCAAGGAGGGAUCUUGCUGUUUAAUUGUGGCUUCUGAGUGGAUAGAGAGUUGCAGUGGUCGUUGUUUGUUGUCAGUGCUUUCCAGAUGAUGGGUAAUCAGUGCCCAUGGAAGUUCACUCUGGUGCAGUGCAAAGAAUAUAGGGGAAUUUGGAAGUUUUAAUUAGCUUCUCCUGGCUUCAGCUUCUUCAUCUGUAAAAAUGAGAUGACUCAACGUGAGUGUGCAACAGAAUCAUCUGCAGAACUUAAAACAAAAAACAACAGCUACUGGAGCCUCAUAAGUACCAAGUUGGGUAAGAUGCACGUGCAUUUCAAGAGCUCCAUAGGUGUGUCCUCCACUGAACUCGACUUUUCUACAGGUUCUCUUCCACUUGAAAAUACUAUUUUUAAUCACAUAUUUGUACAUGUUGCUUAUGAGAAAUUAAAUUGGCACAAGAUAUAUUAAACGCCGUAAGAAUUUGCCUGCCUUUUAACUUAAUGAGUUCUUUUGUAGGAAUUUCUUCCUCAGAAAUUACGUCAUGUACACAAACAUAUAUAUUCAAGAAUAUUCAUUCUUGAUUGUAAAAACAAACUGUUGAAACAAUAAAAGUGAUUAACACUAAGAUCUUAUUUAUGGAUAAAUAAUGGUAUAUCACUACAACAAAAUACCAUGUAGUCAUUGAAAGUUAAAUUAUAAGAGAAUAAUUAGUGAUGUGGAAAAUUUUCAUGAGAUAUUUGUAAAAUGAAGAAAAGCAGAUUUUAAAGUGUAUGUGAGUAUAAUCAUGUGUGAUUAUUAACAUGUGUGAGAAUUAUGCUGCCUGAAAGAAGUGAGACAUGAAAGAGUAUAUAUUGCAUGAUUCCAUUUAUAUAAAACUAGAAACAACAAAUCUAAUCUAUAGUGACAUAAAGCAGAUCGGGGUUGCCUGAAACUGAAACAGGGAGUGGAGAGGCGGAUGGACUGGGAAGGGCUGGAGACACAAGGCAACUUUUUGAAGUGAUGGGAAUGCUUUUCAUCUUGAUUGUGAUGGUUGCACAAGCGUAUACAUUUCAACACUGGAAAUUGGUACAUUUUAUUGUAUGGAAAUAAUACUUCAACUAAAAAUAUAGAGAGAAACUAUGUAUAAAGUUCUCUAUAAAGUGUUUUCUUAAAAACACCUAAAAUGUUAACUGUUA